UUUUAAGCCCGGGGUUUCC
This 19-nucleotide non-coding RNA is filed under the name Rattus norvegicus (Norway rat). Lineage: Eukaryota; Metazoa; Chordata; Mammalia; Rodentia; Muridae. The record is from RNAcentral.